RNAcentral lists this ribosomal RNA (498 nucleotides) under uncultured bacterium. RNAcentral's name for it is "bacterial SSU rRNA". It matches the Rfam family "Bacterial small subunit ribosomal RNA", at positions 28 to 507 of the family's 1533-position model. The record is from RNAcentral.
GACGAACGCUGGCGGCAUGCCUAAUACAUGCAAGUCGAACGCUGAAGCACUCUGCUUGCAGAGUGCGGAUGAGUGGCGAACGGGUGAGUAACACGUGGGAAAUCUGCCUAGGAGUGGGGGAUAACAUUCGGAAACGGAUGCUAAUACCGCAUAUCUUUUUGAACCGCAUGGUUCUUAAACGAAAGACGGCUUCGGCUGUCGCUCUUAGAUGAUCCCGCGGCGUAUUAGUUAGUUGGUGGGGUAAAGGCCUACCAAGACCAUGAUACGUAGCCGACCUGAGAGGGUGAUCGGCCACACUGGGACUGAGACACGGCCCAGACUCCUACGGGAGGCAGCAGUAGGGAAUCUUCCGCAAUGGGUGAAAACCUGAUGGAGCAAUGCCGCGUGAAUGAAGAAGGUCUUCGGAUCGUAAAGUUCUGUUAUUAGAGAAGAACAAGUCAAGGAGUAACUGUCUUGACUUUGACGGUACCUAACCAGAAAGUCACGGCUAACUACGUG